RNAcentral lists this ribosomal RNA (432 nucleotides) under uncultured bacterium. RNAcentral describes it as "partial 16S ribosomal RNA". It matches the Rfam family "Bacterial small subunit ribosomal RNA", at positions 29 to 507 of the family's 1533-position model. The record is from RNAcentral.
AACGAACGCUGGCGGCAUGCCUAACACAUGUAAGUCGAACGAGACCUUCGGGUCUAGUGGCGCACGGGUGCGUAACGCGUGGGAACCUGCCCUUAGGUUCGGAAUAACUCCCCGAAAGGGGUGCUAAUACCGGAUAAUGUCUUCGGACCAAAGAUUUAUCGCCUUUGGAUGGGCCCGCGUUGGAUUAGCUAGUUGGUAGGGUAAAAGCCUACCAAGGCGACGAUCCAUAGCUGGUCUGAGAGGAUGAUCAGCCACACUGGGACGGAGACACGGCCCAGACCCUUCCGGAGGGCGGCGGUGGGAAUAUUGGAUAAUGGGCGAAAGCCUGAUCCAGCAAUGCCGCGUGAGUGAUGAAGGCCUUAGGGUUGUAAAGCUCUUUUACCCGGGAUGAUAAUGACAGUACCGGGAGAAUAAGCUCCGGCUAACUCCGUG